This 253-nucleotide ribosomal RNA is filed under the name uncultured bacterium. RNAcentral's name for it is "partial 16S ribosomal RNA". It matches the Rfam family "Bacterial small subunit ribosomal RNA", at positions 524 to 776 of the family's 1533-position model. The record is from RNAcentral.
UACGAAGGGGGCUAGCGUUGUUCGGAAUUACUGGGCGUAAAGCGCGCGCAGGUGGUCUUUCAGGUCAGUGGUGAAAGCCCGGAGCUCAACUCCGGAAAUGCCAUUGAAACUGUAAGACUUGAGGAUGAGAGAGGUGAGUGGAAUUCCCAGUGUAGAGGUGAAAUUCGUAGAUAUUGGGAAGAACACCGGUGGCGAAGGCGGCUCACUGGCUCAUAUCUGACGCUCAGGCGCGACAGCGUGGGGAUCAAACAGG